CAUUAGGUGGCUGAAAGCAAGUAUUGGUCUCUUAAACCUUCCUAUAGUAAACUAGCGCUUACUUCUAAUGA
This 71-nucleotide transfer RNA is filed under the name Epicauta chinensis. RNAcentral's name for it is "tRNA-Lys". The record is from RNAcentral. Lineage: Eukaryota; Metazoa; Arthropoda; Insecta; Coleoptera; Meloidae.